RNAcentral lists this ribosomal RNA (497 nucleotides) under uncultured bacterium. RNAcentral describes it as "partial 16S ribosomal RNA". It matches the Rfam family "Bacterial small subunit ribosomal RNA", at positions 28 to 507 of the family's 1533-position model. The record is from RNAcentral.
GAUGAACGCUGGCGGCGUGCCUAAUACAUGCAAGUCGAGCGAACAGACGAGGAGCUUGCUCCUCUGACGUUAGCGGCGGACGGGUGAGUAACACGUGGAUAACCUACCUAUAAGACUGGGAUAACUUCGGGAAACCGGAGCUAAUACCGGAUAAUAUAUUGAACCGCAUGGUUCAAUAGUGAAAGACGGUUUUGCUGUCACUUAUAGAUGGAUCCGCGCCGCAUUAGCUAGUUGGUAAGGUAACGGCUUACCAAGGCAACGAUGCGUAGCCGACCUGAGAGGGUGAUCGGCCACACUGGAACUGAGACACGGUCAAGACUCCUACGGGAGGCAGCAGUAGGGAAUCUUCCGCAAUGGGCGAAAGCAUGACGGAGCAACGCCGCGUGAGUGAUGAAGGUCUUCGGAUCGUAAAACUCUGUUAUUAGGGAAGAACAAAUGUGUAAGUAACUAUGCACGUCUUGACGGUAACUAAUCAGAAAGCCACGGCUAACUACGUG